AAAGGUACAUUGUUAUAACACAAAUUUGGUUACAUCAAAAACUGUUGUAUUUUUA
Molecule: transfer RNA, 55 nt
Filed under: Vannella croatica
Lineage: Eukaryota; Discosea; Flabellinia; Vannellidae
Description: tRNA-Val
Source: RNAcentral